This 74-nucleotide transfer RNA is filed under the name Acidimicrobiales bacterium. Its description in RNAcentral is "tRNA-Ala". It matches the Rfam family "tRNA". Rfam says of the family: Transfer RNA (tRNA) molecules are approximately 80 nucleotides in length. Their secondary structure includes four short double-helical elements and three loops (D, anti-codon, and T loops). Further hydrogen bonds mediate the characteristic L-shaped molecular structure. tRNAs have two regions of fundamental functional importance: the anti-codon, which is responsible for specific mRNA codon recognition, and the 3' end, to which the tRNAs corresponding amino acid is attached (by aminoacyl-tRNA synthetases). tRNAs cope with the degeneracy of the genetic code in two manners: having more than one tRNA (with a specific anti-codon) for a particular amino acid; and 'wobble' base-pairing, i.e. permitting non-standard base-pairing at the 3rd anti-codon position. The record is from RNAcentral. Lineage: Bacteria; Bacillati; Actinomycetota; Acidimicrobiia; Acidimicrobiales.
GGGCCUGUGGCGCAGUCCGGUAGCGCACUUGUCUGGCAGACAAGGGGCCACGGGUUCAAAUCCCGUCAGGUCCA